This 4566-nucleotide long non-coding RNA is filed under the name Setaria viridis. Its description in RNAcentral is "long non-coding RNA (SVIR_LNC002901)". The record is from RNAcentral. Lineage: Eukaryota; Viridiplantae; Streptophyta; Magnoliopsida; Poales; Poaceae.
UGAGGAUGUGGUUGCUGGAAUCAGAACCCCGGAGGAUCUUGAUGCCAUGAAGGCACAGAUGCCGGAUGCUUAUGUAGAGCUCGUUGAGAACUGCAAGAUACUGGAGAGCCACUACAAAGAAAUGAUGGUACCUUAUUAUUGCAUUUUCAACCUUUACUGCACCAUUUAUUUUUGAGCUAUAUUUAAACAUGAUCUCUUUAAUAAUUUGCAACAUAAGCGCACUUGAAUACUGGUGUUGCUUCAAUGUGUUCUGUAGAUUGGCAUUGUGUCUCUGUUACUGCCAUUGGCCAUGAUCUCAGACUUGCUUGCUUUUUAUGCAUGAUGCAGGACAUUGAAUUUACCGUUCAGGAAAAUAGGCUCUGGAUGUUACAGUGCAGAUCAGGAAAACGUACAGGCCAAGGGGCGGUAAAGAUUGCUGUGGACAUGGUUAAUGAGGGUCUUGUUGAGCGCCGUCAAGCGAUUAAGAUGGUAGAGCCAGGCCACCUGGACCAGCUUCUCCAUCCUCAGGUAAUGGAUAACCAUGAGGCCCGUAAACUGAUUGUGCCUUACUUGAAAUUCAGUACUCUUAUAAGUUUGGCCUUACUUGGAAUUCACUUUAUAAGUUAAGUACUGGAUAUGUAUUAACAUCACUGUUUUAAUCUUGUCCAAUGAAAACCAGUUUGAGAACCCAUCAGCAUACAAGGAUCAAGUAAUCGCUACAGGCUUACCAGCUUCACCUGGGGCUGCUGUGGGCCAAAUUGUAUUUACUGCAGAGGACGCUGAAGCAUGGCAUGCCCAAGGGAAAGCUGCUAUCCUGGUAAACACCAUUUUAUCCUCAUUUUUAAGAAAAAAAGGUCUUCUGCAGUUUUUGUGUCAUUUUGAUCUGGACUUUGUGCUUCGAUGAAAAGAUCUGUUAAUUGAGCAAAACUGGUCUAUUUACUGGACCUGUUAGAAUAGUUGCUUGCAGAGUUACAGUCACAAAAAUCCCACUUAUCACAGACAGCCAUUUUUGAAAUGCAUAUGGAAGCUCCAAGUCGUAUCGCUUCAUCUUUUGCAUUCUGAGAAUUUUUUCUUUGCAAAUAUAUAGGUGAGGACAGAGACCAGCCCAGAGGAUGUUGGUGGCAUGCACGCAGCUGUUGGAAUUCUUACAGCAAGAGGUGGGAUGACCUCUCAUGCUGCUGUGGUAGCACGUGGUUGGGGAAAAUGUUGUGUCUCAGGAUGCUCAAGCGUUCUCGUAAAUGAUGCUGAGAAGGUGAAUAGAAUUCUUGUUUGCACAUCUUCUUCUUUGUAGAAGGUGACAUGCCAUGUUAAAGUUUGUAACAGGAUUAUGACAUUCUUUGUAGAUGUGCUCCGUCCGCCAUUUUUAAGUUCUUAUUAACGAGAUUUUGAGGAUGUAGAUGUUUCCUUACUUUGCUAUGUCUACAUUUACAGUCUGUAGUGAUUGGAGACAAGGUGAUGCAUGAAGGUGAGUGGCUAUCACUGAAUGGAUCUACUGGUGAAGUCAUCGUGGGGAAGCAGCCACUUUCCCCACCAGUCCUCAGUGGUGAUCUGGGAACCUUCAUGUCCUGGGUAGAUGAAGUUAGGCAACUGAAGGUAAAUUCCUAGAAAUAACAAAUAUGUAAUAUUAGUUAAAACAUGGAUACAAACUGUUGGAAGUAGAAACCAACAAAAAGGGCAUCAGAUUAUUUAUUCAGACAGGCCAAAGCUAGUCAACCCCACUACACAUUUUUCAACAGAAAUGCUUAUUCGUACAUAUGAUCCACCUUCCAGGUUUUGGCUAAUGCGGAUACCCCUGAGGAUGCACUGACAGCAAGAAACAAUGGGGCAGAAGGAAUUGGACUAUGCCGGACGGAGCACAUGGUAUGUAUUUUAGUUACUGUCCAAUAUCUUUUGGGUGGGAUCUUGGAAAACUUACUCUUUCUUGAAUUCCUUCGUCGAACAGUUGGGUAAACUUUAAGGACCUCCCGUUCUAGUCUCAUGUUCUCCUUUUCUGCACUUUGGCAGUUCUUUGCUUCGGAUGAGAGGAUUAAGGCUGUGAGGCAGAUGAUUAUGGCUCCCACACUUGAACUGAGGCAGAAGGCACUAGAUCGUCUUUUGCCUUAUCAGAGGUCUGACUUUGAAGGCAUUUUCCGUGCUAUGGAUGGUAUGUGAAAAUCACGAUGCAUUCAUUUACAUGCUCUCCAAUUGAACUGGAUGCACUAGUGUUACUGAACAUAACAAGAGUAAGCAACCUUCUUAAAUAGACAACAUUGACUACUAAUGUAAAGUGAAAAGGUAGACAAGUUUUAAACCUUAGGAUGCAAAAUACUUCAAAAAUAAGAACGAAAUUGGGCCAGUAACAUAUUGCAUCAAUUAUUUAACUUGGUAACAUAAAGUUCUGCUAUGAUUUAUCCAUUAGUUUUUUUUAAUCUUUUAUAGCGAGUGGUAUAUGUACAUGUUUCAUGGAAACAGAUAUAGAAUUAAACUACUAGAAUAAAUUUUAACAUGUAUUGUAGUUAGUUCCACAGUAUGUAUUUUAAAGUGCGGAAUGGAUUUGAACAUUAUUUUUUUUGCAUUUCAGGGCUUUCAGUGACUAUUCGGCUUCUGGACCCCCCACUUCAUGAGUUUCUUCCUGACGGGAAUGUUGAAGACAUUGUGCGUGAAUUAUGUUCUGAAACUGGAGCCAAUCAGGAGGAAGCCCUUGCAAGAAUUGAAAGUCUUUCAGAAGUAAAUCCAAUGCUUGGUUUCCGUGGGUGCAGGUUGGUUUUUGUGCUCCGUUUAAAUCAGUCACCCCCCCUCCUUGAUCCAUUUGGUUCCCUUGUUAGUGAAAUAUUAAAAAGAAUAAACUCUGUAUAUUUACCUCGACUAAUAUUGGAACUGCUAAAAUUCCAGGCUCGGUAUAUCAUAUCCUGAGCUAACAGAAAUGCAAGCCCGUGCCAUCUUUGAAGCUGCUAUAGCGAUGACCAACCAGGGUGUUCAAGUUUUCCCAGAGAUAAUGGUUCCUCUUGUUGGGACACCUCAGGCAUGCAUCUUUAUUUCCUUAUUUGUGCAUAUGGUAUCUCUGCAGUUCAUGGUGUUCAAAAUGACAAAAUCAAAAUUGAAUAAACAACCAAGUUCUGUACACAUGUAAUUUACGAUUUUAUGCAAACAUCAAGUUGACCUACACCCAAUUUCCCACCAAAUUCAUUUCUUGAAAUUUUCUCUCUCGAAUUCUAAGUUUAUUGCUUUCACUUGAUUUUUCCUUCAGACAUCUGACAUUUGACUUUUGCAGGAACUGGGGAAUCAAGUGGCCCUUAUCCGUGAAACUGCUAACAAAGUUUUCGCUGCUCUGGGUAAAACCAUUGACUACAAAAUUGGAACUAUGAUUGAAAUUCCGAGGGCAGCUCUAGUAGCUGAUGAGGUAGGAAGCAUCUAACUCCCUUCAGAAUAAUCUUAAAUAUUGCUGUUUAGGUUUAGCUUUUAGAUCAUAUUUUUCAUGAAUGGUUUAGUAAUAGAACCCCGGAUUUUUACUCUAAAACAUGUGAAUAGUAACUGAUGGUAUGAAUUUAUUAAGUGCAAAUAAUAAGUUUAUCCUCUAAUUUAAAAAAAAAACUGACAUUCUUGUUUUGGUUUCACAACCUGACAGAUAGCAGAGCAGGCUGAAUUCUUCUCUUUUGGAACGAACGACCUCACACAGAUGACAUUUGGCUACAGCAGGGAUGAUGUGGGGAAGUUUCUUCCCAUUUAUCUGUCUCAGGGUAUCCUCCAACAUGAUCCCUUUGAGGUAAAAUUUUAGCAGCUCUCACCCUUCAGUUUUAGAUGAUAUACCUGCAUUUUCAUCAUCCACUCUUGUUUUUCAAGGAAUAUUUCCAUCAUCCACAGAUGCGAGCAUCUCAUGUCCUCUAGGCAUUUUUCAUGUCCUUGACUUUUGGUUACGUGCAUGCUCUGGUAAAAUUCAACCUAGUAACUUGCCCAUUGAAUGUUGAUAAACAUAUCAGGUGCUGGAUCAGAGGGGAGUGGGCGAGCUGGUUAAGUUUGCUACAGAGAGGGGUCGCAAAGCUAGGCCUAACUUGAAGGUUAGUUUUUGGGACUUGUGGACAUUGGCUCUUUUCCUUAGAAAUCAUGGUUUCAUUGUUUGGUGCUGUCUGCAAACAGGUGGGCAUCUGUGGAGAACACGGUGGGGAGCCUUCGUCAGUUGCAUUCUUUGCAAAGUCGGGGCUGGAUUAUGUUUCUUGCUCGCCUUUCAGGUUGGUCAAGUGAUAAACUCAAGAUACAACUCCCAGAUUCAUAACUGUAGCAAAACCUUAACUACUUUUUAUGAAAUAUCUUGUGCAGGGUUCCCAUCGCCAGGCUAGCUGCAGCUCAGGUGCUCGUCUGAGGGCACCGCCUCAUCGGCAACCGGAUCACCUGCUGUUGGUGCGUCUGGUGAAGAAUACUAAUACAAAGCCAUGGAACGGUGGAACUCUGCUGCCUGGCAAAGGCCGUUGUAUCUUGUAUGAAGUCUCCGUGCGCGUGCGCAUGUAAGACUUAAUGUGUGGUUUUCUGCAUUUUCCCUUGAACUACCAUGGUAAUGUAGUACCAAACAGAGAUGAUGACGAAGAACAAUCGAAUAAAUUAAUUGGCGAUUAC